GUAAUUUGUUGUUAUUAAAAAAAUCAAAAAAACUUUCCUCUCAUUUGUUAAUUAGAUGCUGACAUCAUCGUCAAAAUUCAUAAAAGUUAAUAAAUUCAAAAUGUUUCAAUAGGGGAAAUUUAUAGCUAAUUCAUUAAUAGCUACCCCUAGUUGAAAUUGAAUAAGCAUAAGCUCAAGGAGCAGAACAAUACAGUAAUUUUAUUAAUGUAACAUAUUGGGAAACUAUUGUUCUGCUUCUUAAGUUUGUGUUUGUUCAGUUUGGACAUUUAUAGCAGAUUGUUAUUAAUAUUUGAUAAAUUCAGUUACUAGUUACUGCCCCUAGUUAAGUUUAUAUAGUAUUGAAAUCCACUAAUGUUCAAAUUUAUCUGUAUCACUAGAACAUUGACUGAAAAUAUUUUGCAUUGAAGUGAAUAUCUUGUUAUUUAUUAUUGUUUAAGCUGAAGUUUUAUGGAUCACAUUAUUUCUAUCUUAGGUUAUUCUUCUGAUUUAAUGGAAUGUGUUAUAAACAAUCAUUAAGAACUAUCUACGAGAGAUACUAUGCUUUACCAGAUUGAUGCCUGACAUCAAUCCUAUCUAUUGAGAGACUCGACAUUAUCAUCAAGUUUAUUAAUGAUUAGUGAAACAUAUUUUCACUUAACAACAUUCAAUAAGCAUAAUAAUAUAAUAGUAGAACGUGUAGUUAAUAUUAUAGAACAAAAUAUUGCUUUUCUAUAAGAUUUAUAGAAUAGCCUCUUAUUUUAUUACUAAGCAAUUGAUGAAUAAAGGAUGAUUUAAUAAUAUAUUCCAUAUUUGAUAUGGAAUAAUCUUUGGAAGUAUCUUUGUGUACAUGUUUUAGUUUUUAAAUAAAAAAAAAAUCUGCAUUAUAAAUUAUAAUAAAUAUUAUAAAUAAGCAGUGUAUUAUACAUUCCCUCUUAGAUAUAUGUUUAAUAUGAUGAAAUUUGAAUAUGCCAACAAAGAUGUGAUCAAUGUCAUCAGAAAUUAACUCCCAGGAAAGUUAUGCAAGACAGAAUAGUCAGAGGCACAAUAGACUUAAGUUACAUCCAUCCAUACAUUUUAGAUAGAUCAAUCUCAAGUAGAAAAUUGAAUAACCUGAAUACUGAUGAGUAUAAAAAAAAAUUCUUGAAAGAUGACAACUAAGAAGCAAUAGUUAUGGUGAUUAUCCUUAGUGAAGGACCUUCCACAGGCAACAAUAGUGGCACUAACAGCAAACUCAUAAAAGUACUGUGCAAAAGACAGUGGUACAUCAUUUCAGAUCAUAGAUUUUUUUAAGCUAACAUACAAUAAGACAGCUCAAUAGGAAAUGAGAUACAUUGCAGGAAAAUGAAAUCACCAGGUGAGAAGGUACUCUGUGAGUUACUGACAAAAAGAAGUUAACUAUGGGUAGCUCUGUUCUUUAUGAAGUAACUAAAUUAAAACUAAUAGAAUAUUCAGUAGUUGAAUCAUAUAUAGAAGCAAAAUAAGUCAAAAACUGUACAACAUGAACAAUUAAAAUAGGAAAUGUGAAUAAUAUGACUAAAAGAAAGAUUGAAAUAGUAAAUCAAGAAAUAAACUGAUUAAAUAUUAUGAUCCUUGGAGUAAAUUAAAAUUAACUAGAAUUGAAUAUUUUCAUCCAAUCAAAAUUAUAAUUUGCUAUGUUCAUAAUGACAAUUAAAGAAAAAAUAGUGAUAAACGUGACUGCUAGAGGGCUUCUGAGUGUAUUAAUUGAAAAAAUAAUGUUUGUUUCACAUUUCCUAACUACUAAAUCAAAUAGAGCCCAUAAUGCAAUGCCUGGUUGGAUAAUUUCAAUCAAACCUUAUGAAAUGAUUAUAAUCUUAAAAUUAUUGAAGUGUAUGUAUCAUCUACAAAUACUGAACAAGAAGAAAUUAUAAGUUUUAUGCUAAUGUAAAAAACAAAAUUGAUAAUAAUGGAAAAGUAAUAAAAACUGUUGAAAAAUUUAUUCUUACUUCAUAAUGAUAUAAAUAAUAUAUUGCAUAGUUUUUUGAAGUUAACAAGUUUUUAUUGCAAAUAUAUGCUUCAGACAUCCAAAUAGGAGACUAUGUAGCUGUCACUAAAUGGAUAAUUAAGAAUCAAAUAGAUUAUAGGCACUCAGAAUUAAGCAGUCUCAAUUGCACAAUUAUAGAUUUAAACACAACUUUCCAAAAAUAAAUAAAUAGUAAAAUUAUAAUAAUUUUUAAAAUAAUAAAAUUCCAAAUUUUAAAUAUGAAAUUUAAUGAUUUUUAGUAAUGCUAUGAUUACUAACAUUGCUGAUAGUUGACUUUUAAUAAUAUUUUAUCAUCAUAACAAUCAGUAUACAUUUGAAAUAAAAUAUUUAAUUACUUCUGUAUUAAUGUUAAAUAUUUCCUUCUUUCAUAUUGCCUAGAACCAAAUAUGAUUGAAGCAACCAAAUAUGGUUGCUGAGUCAACAAGAUGGCAUUAAUUUUUUUCAACUUCAUUUUCGUUUUUGAGAAAAGAAAGUUGUAGGUAUUCAAGUUUAGAGCACAAGGUGAAUGAGAAGAUAUAACAAAAUUCCUAGCAAAAAAUUUUUGGACAGACAGCAAUAUAUACAUAGGUAUUGUAAUAGUAUAGCAAUUAGUCUCCUUGUCUUAGGACAUCCAUGGACAAUGUUUGAUUGAUAGUUUAUCUAUAGUAGUAAUUUCAUUAUGGAUAAUCUCUCACUAUCAAAAAAUGAAUUAACAUGUUUUUCAGAUUAGAACAAACUUGUGCAGCCUUCUUAGGGCAUGAGAUUUCAUUAUACAGAUUACUGCUUUGUUUCAAGAUUAGACCUAUAUAUUCAUGUUUCAUUGCCUGUUAUCAUCUUUAUCACUAAAUAAGUGUCAUUUUAUGCUUCUUGAUUUUUAUGGAAUAUGUGCAUUUGAUUCUUUCCAUUUGUUCAUCAGAGAGCAUUCAUGGAAUAAAUUUUUCAGAAAUUCUUUACCUGUUCAGACCUUGUGACUAAAUGUAUUUCCAGGUAUAAUAGGAACAUGCCAUUUUUUUCGUAUAAAAUAUAAGCUGUUUACUUCUCUUGAUACUUGCACACUUACAUUUUUUGAACAUUUUCAUUUGUGGUUGUUGAUAUUUUGUCCAGAAUGCUGUUCGUUUUUCAUAGAAUUUUAAAACUUAGCUUGUAGAUUAGUGCUUAUUAUGAAUCAUUUUCACAAAAGAUUGUUCAUAUCAUUUGAUACCAAUUAAUCAGUUUUGUCAAGUAUAAAGCUGAAACUUUAUGCAAGCC
This 3208-nucleotide long non-coding RNA is filed under the name Androctonus crassicauda. Lineage: Eukaryota; Metazoa; Arthropoda; Arachnida; Scorpiones; Buthidae. The record is from RNAcentral.